This 212-nucleotide ribosomal RNA is filed under the name Salmonella enterica. RNAcentral describes it as "partial 16S ribosomal RNA". It matches the Rfam family "Bacterial small subunit ribosomal RNA", at positions 224 to 435 of the family's 1533-position model. Lineage: Bacteria; Pseudomonadati; Pseudomonadota; Gammaproteobacteria; Enterobacterales; Enterobacteriaceae. The record is from RNAcentral.
GAUGUGCCCAGAUGGGAUUAGCUUGUUGGUGAGGUAACGGCUCACCAAGGCGACGAUCCCUAGCUGGUCUGAGAGGAUGACCAGCCACACUGGAACUGAGACACGGUCCAGACUCCUACGGGAGGCAGCAGUGGGGAAUAUUGCACAAUGGGCGCAAGCCUGAUGCAGCCAUGCCGCGUGUAUGAAGAAGGCCUUCGGGUUGUAAAGUACUU